AAAAUCCCGUCGAUUUUUUGAAUCAUGAGG
RNAcentral lists this transfer RNA (30 nucleotides) under Rhynchospora setigera. Its description in RNAcentral is "partial tRNA-Leu". The record is from RNAcentral. Lineage: Eukaryota; Viridiplantae; Streptophyta; Magnoliopsida; Poales; Cyperaceae.